AAGGGCAUAGCUCAACGGGUAGAGUGUGUGGUUAGCAUGCAUGAGGUACUGGGUUCAAUCCCCAGUGCCUCCU
This 73-nucleotide transfer RNA is filed under the name Camelus bactrianus (Bactrian camel). It matches the Rfam family "tRNA". Rfam says of the family: Transfer RNA (tRNA) molecules are approximately 80 nucleotides in length. Lineage: Eukaryota; Metazoa; Chordata; Mammalia; Artiodactyla; Camelidae. RNAcentral also lists the same sequence under 1 other name. The record is from Rfam by way of RNAcentral.